GGAGAUGUACCCAAGUGGCUAUAAGGGGCGCCCCUGCUAAGGGUGUAGGCCGGGAAACUGGUGCGAGGGUUCGAAUCCCUCCAUCUCCG
RNAcentral lists this transfer RNA (89 nucleotides) under Exiguobacterium artemiae 255-15. RNAcentral describes it as "Exiguobacterium sibiricum 255-15 tRNA". It matches the Rfam family "tRNA". Rfam says of the family: Transfer RNA (tRNA) molecules are approximately 80 nucleotides in length. Their secondary structure includes four short double-helical elements and three loops (D, anti-codon, and T loops). Lineage: Bacteria; Bacillati; Bacillota; Bacilli; Caryophanales. The record is from Rfam by way of RNAcentral.